Molecule: unclassified non-coding RNA, 351 nt
Filed under: soil metagenome
Description: partial contains 5.8S ribosomal RNA, internal transcribed spacer 2, and large subunit ribosomal RNA
Rfam family: 5.8S ribosomal RNA (bases 1-120)
Source: RNAcentral
GAUGAAGAACGUAGCGAAAUGCGAUAAGUAAUGUGAAUUGCAGAAUUCAGUGAAUCAUCGAAUCUUUGAACGCACAUUGCGCCCGCGAGUAUUCUCGCGGGCAUGCCUGUCCGAGCGUCAUUUCAACCCUCAGGGCCCGCCUGCUUGCAGGCGCGGCGCUGGUGUUGGGGAUCGGCUACCCUGCCGUCCCCCAAAUACAGUGGCGGUCUCGCUGCAGCCUCCCCUGCGUAGUAGCAACACUCGCAUGCGGAGCGCGGCGCGGCCACGCCGUAAACCCCCCGACUUUCUGAACGUUGACCUCGGAUCAGGUAGGAAUACCCGCUGAACUUAAGCAUAUCAAUAAGCGGAGGA